CCGCCGGGACGACCCGGCCCAGCACGGGCCUUGCCAGGACGACCUGC
This 47-nucleotide non-coding RNA is filed under the name Pseudoponticoccus marisrubri. RNAcentral's name for it is "Ponticoccus sp. SJ5A-1 Guanidine-II riboswitch aptamer (mini-ykkC)". It matches the Rfam family "Guanidine-II riboswitch aptamer (mini-ykkC)". From Rfam's summary of the family: Simpler in structure and has fewer highly conserved nucleotide positions than the ykkC-yxkD leader. Lineage: Bacteria; Pseudomonadati; Pseudomonadota; Alphaproteobacteria; Rhodobacterales; Roseobacteraceae. RNAcentral also lists the same sequence under 1 other name. The record is from Rfam by way of RNAcentral.